RNAcentral lists this ribosomal RNA (439 nucleotides) under uncultured bacterium. RNAcentral describes it as "partial 16S ribosomal RNA". It matches the Rfam family "Bacterial small subunit ribosomal RNA", at positions 339 to 795 of the family's 1533-position model. The record is from RNAcentral.
CUACGGGCUGCUGCAGUGAGGAAUAUUGCACAAUGGGGGGAACCCUGAUGCAGCAACGCCGCGUGGAGGAUGACGCAUUUCGGUGUGUAAACUCCUUUUAUAUGUCAAGAAAAUGACGGUAGCAUAUGAAUAAGCACCGGCUAACUCCGUGCCAGCAGCCGCGGUAAUACGGAGGGUGCAAGCGUUACUCGGAAUCACUGGGCGUAAAGGACGCGUAGGCGGGUUGGAAAGUCAGGUGUGAAAUCCUACAGCUUAACUGUAGAACUGCACUUGAAACUUCUAAUCUAGAGUAUGGGAGGGGGAGAUGGAAUUAGUGGUGUAGGGGUAAAAUCCGCAGAUAUCACUAGGAAUACCUAAAGCGAAGGCGAUCUCCUGGAACAUUACUGACGCUAAGGCGUGAAAGCGUGGGGAGCAAACAGGAUUAGAUACCCGUGUAGUC